This is a long non-coding RNA of Sinocyclocheilus rhinocerous, 88 nucleotides long. RefSeq lists it as uncharacterized. The record is from RefSeq and is a predicted model, not a curated record. The transcript has 3 exons. NCBI's taxonomy places the organism in Eukaryota, Metazoa, Chordata, Actinopteri, Cypriniformes, Cyprinidae.
AAUCCGCUGUGCCAUCGAGCAUGGCAGAGCAGUCUGCCGCCAUGGACGCUCAAGGGGGUGGGCUGGAGUGAAGCCCCGUUCACACUGC